This 544-nucleotide ribosomal RNA is filed under the name uncultured bacterium. RNAcentral describes it as "bacterial SSU rRNA". It matches the Rfam family "Bacterial small subunit ribosomal RNA", at positions 355 to 914 of the family's 1533-position model. The record is from RNAcentral.
UGGGGAAUCUUGCACAAUGGGCGAAAGCCUGAUGCAGCAACGCCGCGUGCGGGAAGACAGCCCUAGGGUUGUAAACCGCUUUCAGCAGGGAAGAAACUGACGGUACCUGCAGAAGAAGAUGCGGCCAACUACGUGCCAGCAGCCGCGGUGACACGUAGGCAUCAAGCGUUAUCCGGAUUUAUUGGGCGUAAAGAGCUCGUAGGCGGUUCGGUAAGUCGGGUGUGAAAACUCUGGGCUCAACCCAGAGAGGCCACUCGAUACUGCUGUGACUAGAGUGCGGUAGGGGAGCGGGGAAUUCCUGGUGUAGCGGUGAAAUGCGCAGAUAUCAGGAGGAACACCAGUGGCGAAGGCGCCGCUCUGGGCCGUAACUGACGCUGAGGAGCGAAAGCAUGGGUAGCAAACAGGAUUAGAUACCCUGGUAGUCCAUGCCGUAAAACGUUGGGCACUAGGUGUGGGUCUCAACCAACGAGAUCCGCGCCGUCGCUAACGCAUUAAGUGCCCGCCUGGGAGUACGGUCGCAAGAUUAAAACUCAAAGGAAUUGAC